Non-coding RNA from Ciona savignyi (Pacific transparent sea squirt), 45 nucleotides. Lineage: Eukaryota; Metazoa; Chordata; Ascidiacea; Phlebobranchia; Cionidae. The record is from Rfam.
AAAACGGCUCUUUUUAGAUCCACCCAAAUUAAAUAAAUCGAAAAG